GACGAACGCUGGCGGCGUGCUUAACACAUGCAAGUCGAACGGAAAGGCCCUGCUUGCAGGGUGCUCGAGUGGCGAACGGGUGAGUAACACGUGGGUGAUCUGCCCCUUACUUUGGGAUAAGCCUGGGAAACUGGGUCUAAUACUGGAUAGGACCAUGCUGUAGGUGGUGUGGUGGAAAGAUUAGUUUCGGUAAGGGAUGAGCUCGCGGCCUAUCAGCUUGUUGGUGGGGUAAUGGCCUACCAAGGCGUCGACGGGUAGCCGGCCUGAGAGGGUGGACGGCCACAUUGGGACUGAGAUACGGCCCAGACUCCUACGGGAGGCAGCAGUGGGGAAUAUUGCACAAUGGGCGCAAGCCUGAUGCAGCGACGCAGCGUGGGGGAUGACGGCCUUCGGGUUGUAAACUCCUUUCAGCCAUGACGAAGCCCUUGUGGUGACGGUAGUGGUAGAAGAAGCACCGGCUAACUACGUG
Molecule: ribosomal RNA, 469 nt
Filed under: uncultured bacterium
Lineage: Bacteria
Description: partial 16S ribosomal RNA
Rfam family: Bacterial small subunit ribosomal RNA
Source: RNAcentral